This 2847-nucleotide long non-coding RNA is filed under the name Zostera marina. Its description in RNAcentral is "long non-coding RNA (ZMAR_LNC003748)". The record is from RNAcentral. Lineage: Eukaryota; Viridiplantae; Streptophyta; Magnoliopsida; Alismatales; Zosteraceae.
UGCAUGGUUACUCUGGCCAAUCCUAUCUUCUAACAGAUGAUAGUUCCUCACUACUAGCAUGAUGCACUUGAUUGCGAGUGUGAACUGUGGCUCUGGUUUCCAUCAUUGUCAUAGGAUUGAGAGCGUGGGCUAUUGUCAUAACUGUUACUGGGCCGAGAGUGUGAGCUAUGGCUUUUGUGGCCAUAACUGUUACCAGCCUGAGAGUAUGAGUUAUGACUUUGGUGGUCAUAACUGCUGAUGAGAAGCUCCUCUCUGUAUCGAGAAGGACUAGUCGAGGUUUCAGACUGGGAACUUGUAUCCUCGUAUGUAUCUUCUUUAGCAUAGCGAGGUUUUUUCCGGCUGGGCGGCUCGACUACAUCCAGCUUAUUAUUGUUCUUCUCUUCUAUCUCAAUGAACGAUUGAGCUCAUUGGAAGAGGUCGGGUAGGGUCUCCACUUUAUGGAGCGUAAGAUUCUGGGCCAAAGGGGAGUAGGGUACUAGCCCAAUCAUGUACCCCGCUAUGGCCAGACUCGGAAUCAGGUCGUUCACUUCUGUCAUCAUCGAAGUGAACUUAAUCGUGUAAUCCCUCAGAGACAGUUUGUUCUGUCGUAAUGCCAGCAGUGCGUUGGCAUUGUGUUUUAUUCUGAUCAUCCCCACAUGUUGGGCGAUGAACUUCGAAAAGAGGUCCGCGAAGCUGAAGACCGAGCCAGCUGGCAGACCAGAGAACCACAGAUAAUCGCUGACUUUAAGAGUCCCUGGGAAUGCCCGACUCAACAGUCCGUUAUCGGUGGUCUACGGUUCCAAGACACUAAGGUAGAGGUUGAUGUGAUCUUUUGAAUCACUCGAACCGUCAUACGCUUCUAUCUUGGGUAUCCGCCUGGUUGGUAGAAAAGAUUCUUUCAAAAGGUCCUUGUGAAAAGGAACGCUUUUGAUUCUCAAGAACUCGAUCGGAUUGUCGGCCAGCUUCCGACGGAGAUCUUCCACGAACUUUGUUGUAAAAGUCUUGUCAGUGCGACUCUUGCUAGGUUCAGCCUUUGCUUUAGGAGGCACUGGAGAUUUCCUUUUUUCUCCGCAGAUCGAGAAUAGUAAGACCCAGAUUCACCCGCUCCUUCGCGGAUGAUGGUCUUGUUGCCCCUCACUUUCUCGAGGUUGUCAACUCUUUUUUCUAUGGAAUCUAUAAAGUUAAUCAACCUCUCUUCUAGCGCAGGAGUUAGGUUCACUCCCCCAUUUGGUGGGAGUGAUGAGGGCACCUCAUGUGCCGACAGUGGUGUAUUGGAGGUUGGUAUAGUACGGGAACUAACCCUCCUACCAGAAGCUCCUACUUCAGUAGCAAUAGCGGGAGCUUUCUUUUUAUGAUCCUUAGUAAAAGGAGCCACAAAUAGGAUGGUUGCUUCUAUUGGGUCGAAGCAACAGACUACGAGUGGAAGUUCUUCCGAAGUGUCGGAAGCUAUGGGUAGGUACUUGCCCCCCCGGGCAUCACAAAACAGAAAAAAAUUGGUAUUUCUUUGUAGUUUUGUGACCCCCUUGAGCAGUACUAUUAGUCCCUAACUCAGUGAUGAAUGAAGACGAUGACUGGUCUUAUUCAGCCAAAGCGAUGAAUGAAGGCGAUGAAUGAAUGGUCUUAUUCAACUAGAGUAAUGAAUGAAGACGAUGAAUGAGUGGUCUUAUUCGGCCAAAGCGAUGAAUGAAGACGAUGACCGAAUCAACAAUUCAAUUGUGGGAAUCGCCUACUCAAUGUGGGAGUUGUCGAUUCAGUUGGGAAUCGUCGAUUCAGUUGGGAAUCGAGAAUCAUCGAUUCAGUUGGGAAUCGUUGAUUCAAGUGGGGAUUCAGAUGAGGAUAGACGAUUUUCUAUGAAAAAUCCAACCUAUAUGAAAUUGAAAGUACCAGAGCAAAAGGCAUUGACAGCACUUGCUCAAAAAGCUAAAGCAAUCGGCGACUCCCUAUGUGGAAUCGGUGAUUCAACUAAUGGCCUUUUUUGAACCAAGCCGUGGACAUCACUCUUAGCUAGCAGAAUAACCCGCAAUCGACGACUCACUAGGUGGAGUCAGCGAUUGCCUGUAUGAAUUGACGAUUCCUUGACACAAAGUCAGUGAUUCACCGCGGGAGGGAAUCGAGCCGAACUUUGCAAAGAAAAUUUCACGAUUACAACGGGAUAUCGUAGUUCGAUAGUCCCACAGACGGCGCCAGCUGAUGAAGCACGAAAUCUGCUACCAGUAGGCUCGCGGGGUUACGAGGAGGGACGGAGGCUUUGGAGUCCACGACGCGCGCUCUACGUCAAUGUACCUGCAGAGAGGAGGGGAAUCGACGACCCAGGUGUGAGAGUCGGCGACUCAGGCUCCUUAGUUGCUUUGGUUGGUGUGUGUGUCAAGUUGUUGUGGAGGGGAUGUGUUGAUGAAUGAGGACCCCCCAAGGGCCCCUUUUAUAGGGUCUUUGGGGUGUUUCUCAUUCAUUACCCAUGGGGCCCACGCUAUUAUGGUGCCCUAUUAAAGGUGUCAUAAUGACGUGGGCCAAGUCAAGUAACGGCUGGGAGUCGGUGACUCAGGGUGAGGCCAUCGAUUCCCCAUGAGCCAGGUUGGCAGCCUACCAGAACUGACCAACGAGGCCUGGAAUCGGUGGCUCACCUCUGGAGUCGGCGACUUGGUAGUCCCAGUCGCCGAUUCCCAGUGUUGACUUGAGUACUUGACGUAGACACUUGCCCGCAACCGUGGAUCUCUCCGGGGGUCUGGCAUAAAGCGACAGAACCCUAUUCCUUGUUGAAGGGCGUUGCUGGGAGUGACUGACAUAAUCAGGCAUGUCUCACCACCCGAGAAAGUCGAUCUUUGGAACGUCAACCUUGGGACCCGAUCUGAUCAGUUAGGCAGUUAGGCG